GAUGAACGCUAGCGGCAGGCUUAACACAUGCAAGUCGAGGGGUAUAGUAGCAAUACUAGAGACCGGCGCACGGGUGCGUAACGCGUAUGCAACCUACCUUUUACAGAGGGAUAGCCCAGAGAAAUUUGGAUUAAUACCUCAUAGUGUUAUUAGAUGGCAUCAUUUGAUAACUAAAGUUCCAACGGUAAAGAUGGGCAUGCGUCCUAUUAGCUAGAUGGUAAGGUAACGGCUUACAUGGCUACGAUAGGUAGGGGUCCUGAGAGGGAGAUCCCCCACACUGGUACUGAGACACGGACCAGACUCCUACGGGNGGCAGCAGUGAGGAAUAUUGGACAAAUGGGCGCAAGCCUGAUCCAGCCAUGCCGCGUGCAGGAAGAAGCAUCUAU
Molecule: ribosomal RNA, 386 nt
Filed under: uncultured bacterium
Lineage: Bacteria
Description: bacterial SSU rRNA
Rfam family: Bacterial small subunit ribosomal RNA
Source: RNAcentral